UACAGAGGUGGCAAGCGUUGUUCGGAAUUACUGGGCGUAAAGGGCGCGUAGGCGGUCCGCUAAGUGUGUGGUGAAAGCUCGGGGCUCAACCCCGAGUCGGCCGUGCAAACUGGUGGACUCGAGCAUGUCAGAGGCAGGCGGAAUUCCGGGUGUAGCGGUGGAAUGCGUAGAGAUCCGAAAGAACACCGGUGGCGAAGGCGGCCUGCUGGGCAGUUGCUGACGCUGAGGCGCGACAGCGUGGGGAGCAAACAGG
RNAcentral lists this ribosomal RNA (253 nucleotides) under uncultured bacterium. RNAcentral's name for it is "partial 16S ribosomal RNA". It matches the Rfam family "Bacterial small subunit ribosomal RNA", at positions 524 to 776 of the family's 1533-position model. The record is from RNAcentral.